GACGAACGCGGCGGCGUGCCUAAUACAUGCAAGUAGAACGCUGAAGGAGGAGCUUGCUUCUCUGGAUGAGUUGCGAACGGGUGAGUAACGCGUAGGUAACCUGCCUGGUAGCGGGGGAUAACUAUUGGAAACGAUAGCUAAUACCGCAUAAGAGUAGAUGUUGCAUGACAUUUGCUUAAAAGGUGCAAUUGCAUCACUACCAGAUGGACCUGCGUUGUAUUAGCUAGUUGGUGGGGUAACGGCUCACCAAGGCGACGAUACAUAGCCGACCUGAGAGGGUGAUCGGCCACACUGGGACUGAGACACGGCCCAGACUCCUACGGGAGGCAGCAGUAGGGAAUCUUCGGCAAUGGACGGAAGUCUGACCGAGCAACGCCGCGUGAGUGAAGAAGGUUUUCGGAGCGUAAAGCUCUGUUGUAAGAGAAGAACGAGUGUGAGAGUGGAAAGUUCACACUGUGACGGUAUCUUACCAGAAAGGGACGGCUAACUACGUGCCAGCAGCCGCGGUAAUACGUAGGUGGCAAGCGUUAUCCGGAUUUAUUGGGCGUAAAGAGAGUGCAGGCGGUUUUCUAAGUCUGAUGUGAAAGCCUUCGGCUUAACCGGAGAAGUGCAUCGGAAACUGGAUAACUUGAGUGCAGAAGAGGGUAGUGGAACUCCAUGUGUAGCGGUGGAAUGCGUAGAUAUAUGGAAGAACACCAGUGGCGAAGGCGGCUACCUGGUCUGCAACUGACGCUGAGACUCGAAAGCAUGGGUAGCGAACAGG
Molecule: ribosomal RNA, 763 nt
Filed under: uncultured Streptococcus sp.
Lineage: Bacteria; Bacillati; Bacillota; Bacilli; Lactobacillales; Streptococcaceae
Description: bacterial SSU rRNA
Rfam family: Bacterial small subunit ribosomal RNA
Source: RNAcentral